Molecule: small nuclear RNA, 116 nt
Filed under: Rhodnius prolixus
Lineage: Eukaryota; Metazoa; Arthropoda; Insecta; Hemiptera; Reduviidae
Description: U2 spliceosomal RNA
Rfam family: U2 spliceosomal RNA
About the family: U2 is a small nuclear RNA (snRNA) component of the spliceosome (involved in pre-mRNA splicing). Complementary binding between U2 snRNA (in an area lying towards the 5' end but 3' to hairpin I) and the branchpoint sequence (BPS) of the intron results the bulging out of an unpaired adenosine, on the BPS, which initiates a nucleophilic attack at the intronic 5' splice site, thus starting the first of two transesterification reactions that mediate splicing.
Source: Rfam by way of RNAcentral
AUCACUUCUCGGCCUUUUGGCUAAGAUCAAAGUGUAGUAUCUGUUUUUAUCAGCUUAAUCUCUGGCAUUCUAUGGAUAAUGACGCCUUUAAAGAGACCAUAGCCUGCGCAACCUCC